AGAGUUUGAUCAUGGCUCAGGAUGAACGCUGGCGGCGUGCUUAACACAUGCAAGUCGAACGGAAAGGCCCAAGCUUGCUUGGGUACUCGAGUGGCGAACGGGUGAGUAACACGUGGGUGAUCUGCCCUGCACUUCGGGAUAAGCCUGGGAAACUGGGUCUAAUACCGGAUAGGACGAUGGUUUGGAUGCCAUUGUGGAAAGUUUUUUCGGUGUGGGAUGAGCUCGCGGCCUAUCAGCUUGUUGGUGGGGUAAUGGCCUACCAAGGCGUCGACGGGUAGCCGGCCUGAGAGGGUGUACGGCCACAUUGGGACUGGGAUACGGCCCAGACUCCUACGGGAGGCAGCAGUGGGGAAUAUUGCACAAUGGGCGCAAGCCUGAUGCAGCGACGCCGCGUGGGGGAUGACGGCCUUCGGGUUGUAAACUCCUUUCGCUAGGGACGAAGCGUUUUUGUGACGGUACCUGGAGAAGAAGCACCGGCUAACUACGUGCCAGCAGCCGCGGUAAUACGUAGGGUGCGAGCGUUGUCCGGAAUUACUGGGCGUAAAGAGCUCGUAGGUGGUUUGUCGCGUCGUUUGUGUAAGCCCGCAGCUUAACUGCGGGACUGCAGGCGAUACGGGCAUAACUUGAGUGCUGUAGGGGAGACUGGAAUUCCUGGUGUAGCGGUGGAAUGCGCAGAUAUCAGGAGGAACACCGAUGGCGAAGGCAGGUCUCUGGGCAGUAACUGACGCUGAGGAGCGAAAGCAUGGGUAGCGAACAGGAUUAGAUACCCCGGUA
Molecule: ribosomal RNA, 774 nt
Filed under: uncultured bacterium
Lineage: Bacteria
Description: bacterial SSU rRNA
Rfam family: Bacterial small subunit ribosomal RNA
Source: RNAcentral